CGCUGGCGGCACGCCUAACACAUGCAAGUCGAACGAAGUAGCAAUACUUAGUGGCAGACGGGUGAGUAACAUGUGGGUAUCUACCCUUUGGCCUGGAAUAACACGAGGAAACUUGUGCUAAUACUGGAUAAGUCUUUACGGAGAAAGCUUUAUGCACCAUCGGAUGAGCCCGCACUUGAUUAGUUUGUUGGUGGGGUAAUGGCCUACCAAGACUUUGAUCAAUAGCUGAUUUGAGAGGAUGAUCAGCCACAUUGGGACUGAGACACGGCCCAAACUCCUACGGGAGGCAGCAGUGGGGAAUCUUGCACAAUGGAGGAAACUCUGAUGCAGCGAUGCCGCGUGAGUGAAGAAGGCCCUUGGGUUGUAAAGCUCUUUCGUCGGGGAAGAAAAUGACUGUACCCGAAUAAGAAGGUCCGGCUAACUUCGUGCCAGCAGCCGCGGUAAUACGAAGGGACCUAGCGUAGUUCGGAAUUACUGGGCUUAAAGAGUUCGUAGGUGGUUGAAAAAGUUGGUGGUGAAAUCCCAGAGCUUAACUCUGGAACUGCCAUCAAAACUUUUCAGCUAGAGUUUGAUAGAGGAAAGCAGAAUUUCUAGUGUAGAGGUGAAAUUCGUAGAUAUUAGAAAGAAUACCAAUUGCGAAGGCAGCUUUCUGGAUCAUUACUGACACUGAGGAACGAAAGCAUGGGUAGCGAAGAGGAUUAGAUACCCUCGUAGUCCAUGCCGUAAACGAUGUGUGUUAGACGUUGGAAAUUUAUUUUCAGUGUCGCAGCGAAAGCGAUAAACACACCGCCUGGGGAGUACGAC
Molecule: ribosomal RNA, 804 nt
Filed under: uncultured Pelagibacteraceae bacterium
Lineage: Bacteria; Pseudomonadati; Pseudomonadota; Alphaproteobacteria; Candidatus Pelagibacterales; Candidatus Pelagibacteraceae
Description: bacterial SSU rRNA
Rfam family: Bacterial small subunit ribosomal RNA
Source: RNAcentral